UAGGGAAUCUUCGGCAAUGGGGGCAACCCUGACCGAGCAACGCCGCGUGAGUGAAGAAGGUUUUCGGAUCGUAAAGCUCUGUUGUAAGUCAAGAACGGGUGUGAGAGUGGAAAGUUCACACUGUGACGGUAGCUUACCAGAAAGGGACGGCUAACUACGUGCCAGCAGCCGCGGUAAUACGUAGGUCCCGAGCGUUGUCCGGAUUUAUUGGGCGUAAAGCGAGCGCAGGCGGUUUGAUAAGUCUGAAGUUAAAGGCUGUGGCUCAACCAUAGUUCGCUUUGGAAACUGUCAAACUUGAGUGCAGAAGGGGAGAGUGGAAUUCCAUGUGUAGUGGUGAAAUGCGUAGAUAUAUGGAGGAACACCGGUGGCGAAAGCGGCUCUCUGGUCUGUAACUGACGCUGAGGCUCGAAAGCGUGGGGAGCGAACAGGAUUAGAUACCCUGGUAGUCCACGCCGUAAACGAUGAGUGCUAGGUGUUGGAUCCUUUCCGGGAUUCAGUGCCGCAGCUAACGCAUUAAGCACUCCGCCUGGGGAGUACGACCGCAAGGUUGAAAC
This 554-nucleotide ribosomal RNA is filed under the name uncultured bacterium. RNAcentral's name for it is "partial 16S ribosomal RNA". It matches the Rfam family "Bacterial small subunit ribosomal RNA", at positions 355 to 900 of the family's 1533-position model. The record is from RNAcentral.